This 116-nucleotide ribosomal RNA is filed under the name bacterium. The record is from RNAcentral.
UGAGGUGACAAUAACGCUGUGGAACCACCUGAUCCCAUCCCGAACUCAGAAGUGAAACGCAGUUGUGCCGAUGAUACUGCGGUCAGUGGCCGUGGAAAAGUAGGUAGUCGCCUCUU